AUGAACAAGCAGCAACAAGGCAAAAGGAUGCAACCUUACACAACAAAGAAUGUUCUACCCUCUUCAUCAACUCAUGCAUCAAGAAAAACUCACAAGAAGUACAUGGAGGCUAUUGCAGACAUGAAAAAUGCCACCACUAAAUCCGCAACAUGGAUCACUUUGAAAGAGGACGCACGUGAAGACAACAUCACAAAGCUACUCCAGGAACAUCCAUUCAGGUCCACAAAGUACAUCUUCGAGUACAUGAAGAACGGAAUUAAACAUGUCCAAAUUCUCCUCGAUGAAUAA
RNAcentral lists this ribosomal RNA (288 nucleotides) under Triticum aestivum (bread wheat). RNAcentral's name for it is "partial small subunit ribosomal RNA". The record is from RNAcentral. Lineage: Eukaryota; Viridiplantae; Streptophyta; Magnoliopsida; Poales; Poaceae.